RNAcentral lists this ribosomal RNA (450 nucleotides) under uncultured bacterium. RNAcentral's name for it is "partial 16S ribosomal RNA". It matches the Rfam family "Bacterial small subunit ribosomal RNA", at positions 328 to 795 of the family's 1533-position model. The record is from RNAcentral.
GGCCCAGACUCCUACGGGAGGCAGCAGUGGGGGAUAUUGCACAAUGGGGGGAACCCUGAUGCAGCGACGCCGCGUGGGUGAAGAAGCGCCUCGGCGCGUAAAGCCCUGUCAGCAGGGAAGAAAAUGACGGUACCUGAAGAAGAAGCCCCGGCUAACUACGUGCCAGCAGCCGCGGUAAUACGUAGGGGGCAAGCGUUAUCCGGAUUCACUGGGCGUAAAGGGAGCGCAGGCGGCACGGCAAGUCUGGUAUGAAAGCCCGGGGCCCAACCCCGGGACUGCAUUGGAAACUGCCGGGCUGGAGUGCCGGAGGGGUAAGCGGAAUUCCUGGUGUAGCGGUGAAAUGCGCAGAUAUCAGGAAGAACACCGGUGGCGGAGGCGGCUUACUGGACGGCAACUGACGCUGAGGCUCGAAAGCGUGGGGAGCAAACAGGAUUAGAUACCCUAGUAGUU